RNAcentral lists this ribosomal RNA (425 nucleotides) under uncultured bacterium. Its description in RNAcentral is "partial 16S ribosomal RNA". It matches the Rfam family "Bacterial small subunit ribosomal RNA", at positions 354 to 796 of the family's 1533-position model. The record is from RNAcentral.
GUGAGGAAUAUUGGACAAUGGAGGAAACUCUGAUCCAGCCAUGCCGCGUGAGUGAUGAAGGCCUUCGGGUUGUAAAGCUCUUUCGGGUGUGAAAAUGAUGAUGGUAACACCAGAAGAAGCCCCGGCUAACUCCGUGCCAGCAGCCGCGGUAAUACGGAGGGGGCGAGCGUUGUUCGGAAUCACUGGGCGUAAAGCGUGCGUAGGCGGUUAUACAAGUCAGGAGUGAAAUCCCAGGGCUCAACCUUGGAAUUGCUUUUGAGACUGUAUGACUAGAGAUCUAGAGAGGUUGGGGGAAUUCCGAGUGUAGAGGUGAAAUUCGCAGAUAUUCGGAGGAACACCAGUGGCGUAGGCGCCCAACUGGCUAGAUACUGACGCUGAGGCACGAAAGCGUGGGGAGCAAACAGGAUUAGAAACCCGAGUAGUCC